Molecule: ribosomal RNA, 1223 nt
Filed under: Capsicum baccatum
Lineage: Eukaryota; Viridiplantae; Streptophyta; Magnoliopsida; Solanales; Solanaceae
Description: SSU rRNA
Rfam family: Eukaryotic small subunit ribosomal RNA (bases 368-1223)
Source: RNAcentral
UCCUGACCCGCCUGCCAUCUCAGUCGCGGGGCAAGCGCAAUAUAGGCUUGCUCCAAGUCGGUUUCCUAUGCUGCAUGUAUUAUCAAGUUUUAUUGAUCGCCUUUCGCCCCUCGUAUUUCGUGCGUGGGGUGAAUCGAAAGGCCGCCCUCGCAUCCCACGCCUCCCUCGCUUCGUCGUGCGAGGUCAUGGUCCGCGAGUGGCAGCCCGAAUUCUCGGAUGUGGUAGACGCAGUGGGCAUGGGGCCUUCAUCAUCUCCUAUCUGCCCCGUACGACGCUCCUUGCAAACGACGGUCGCGCUCGCCUUGAAUCCGUCUGCGCCUUCGUGGGCAGGCCGGGCUCAUGCGACGCCGGCGUCGAUGAGGAAUGCUACCUGGUUGAUCCUGCCAGUAGUCAUAUGCUUGUCGCAAAGAUUAAGCCAUGCAUGUGUAAGUAUGAACAAAUUCAGACUGUGAAACUGCGAAUGGCCUGCCAUGGUGGUGUCUUUGUCAAUAUGUUGCUUUUAGGACUUCGCCGGCACCUUAUGAGAAAUCAAAGUUUUUGGGCUCCGGGGGGAGUGUGGUCGCAAGGCUGAAACUUAAAGGAAUUGACGGAAGGGCACCAGCAUGAGUGGAGCCUGCGGCUUAAUUUGACUCAACACGGGGAAACUUACCAGGUCCAGACAAAGUAAGCAUUGACAGACUGAGAGAUCUUUCUUGAUUCUACGGGUGGUGGUGCAUGGCCGUUCUUAGUUGGGGAAGCGAUUUGUCUGGUUAAUUCCGUUAACGAACGAGACCUCUAUGCGGAGGUAUCCCUUCGCGGCCAGCUUCUUCGCAGGACUACGGCCUUUUAGGAAGCGGAAGUUUGAGGCAAUAACAGGUCUGUGAUGCCCUUAGAUGUUCUGAGCCGCACGCGCACUACACUGAUGUAUUCGACGAGUUUAUAACCUUGGCCGACAGGCCCGGGUAAUAUUUGAAAUUUCAUCAUGAUGGGGAUAGAUCAUUGCAAUUAUUGGUCUUCAACGAGGAAUUCCUAGUAAGCGCGAGUCAUCAGCUCGCGUUUACUACAUCCCUACCCUUUGUACACACCGCCCGUCGCUCCUACCGAUUGAAUGAUCCGGUGAAAUGUUCGGAUCGCGGCGAUGUGGGCGGUUCGCUACCCACGACGUCGCGAGAAGUCCAUUGAACCUUAUCAUUUAGAGGAAGGACAAGUCGUAACAAGGUUUUCGUAGGUGAACCUGCGGAAGG